Molecule: Y RNA, 109 nt
Filed under: Microcebus murinus (gray mouse lemur)
Lineage: Eukaryota; Metazoa; Chordata; Mammalia; Primates; Cheirogaleidae
Description: Y RNA (ENSMICG00000023849.3)
Rfam family: Y RNA
About the family: Y RNAs are components of the Ro ribonucleoprotein particle (Ro RNP), in association with Ro60 and La proteins. The Y RNAs and Ro60 and La proteins are well conserved, but the function of the Ro RNP is not known.
Source: RNAcentral
AGCUGGUCUAAAGGUAGUGCGUUAUCUCACUUAAUUGUUCACAGCCAGUUUCAGACUGAACUCCUUGUUCCAUUACUUUUCCCCCUUCUCACUACUACACUUGUUUUAA